This 71-nucleotide transfer RNA is filed under the name Bacteriophage sp. RNAcentral describes it as "tRNA-Gly". It matches the Rfam family "tRNA". From Rfam's summary of the family: Transfer RNA (tRNA) molecules are approximately 80 nucleotides in length. RNAcentral also lists the same sequence under 1 other name. The record is from RNAcentral.
GUGGGUAUAGUAUAAUGGUAGUAUGAUAGGCUUCCAACCUAUUGGUGCGAGUUCGACUCUCGUUGCCCAUA